GGUGGAGGAGGAGGAGGAGGACAAUAAAGAUGACCACUAUGAAUAUGAGAAGAAAGGAGAAGAUGAGGUUGAGGAUCAGGGGAAGAAGAUCAUCCUGCAUGCUAAUAAGGGCAAAGGAAGCCAUGGAUAAACAUCAAUGAAUCGGUUCUUUGUAGAUUUGAGACACAUGGAAACAUAUCAGUGAUCCUCAUCUAAUAUUCUUCAUCCAAAUAUAUGCAAAUAAAACUUCUCAAACUGUUUAAAUAUUCUUUAAAUUAAAAAUAAAUAUAAUUUGAAAUGAA
Long non-coding RNA from Peromyscus leucopus (white-footed mouse), 281 nucleotides. RefSeq lists it as uncharacterized. Lineage: Eukaryota; Metazoa; Chordata; Mammalia; Rodentia; Cricetidae. The transcript is spliced from 2 exons. The record is from RefSeq and is a predicted model, not a curated record.